GUUCCCAACCUUUGAAAGUUAGUGAGAGCCCUUUGUUCAUGCUUAGAAGAUUAUAGGUUAGAAGAGUUUAGGUUAGAAUAGUUUAGGUUAGAAGAGUAUCGGUUAGAAGAAUAUAGGUUAGAAGAGUAUAUGUUAGAAGAGUUUAGGUUAGAAGAGUAUAUGUUAGAAGAGUUUAGGUUAGAAGAGUUUAGGUUAGAAGAGUAUCGGUUAGAAGAGUUUAGGUUAGAAGAGUAUAGGUUAGAAGAGUAUAGGUUAGAAGAGUAUCGGUUAGAAGAGUAUAGGUUAGAAGAGUAUAGGUUAGAAGAGUUUAGGUUAGAAGAGUUUAGGUUAGAAUAGUUUAGGUUAGAAGAGUAUCGGUUAGAAGAGUAUAGGUUAGAAGAGUAUAUGUUAGAAGAGUUUAGGUUAGAAGAGUAUAGGUUUGCCAUCGCCUGUCUUGUCGAGUAAAUAGCAGAAAAAAAUGUUUGGAGAAACGCAACCCCAUAUCGUGCUGCGUUUUGAGGAGGUGUGAGAAUCCUGUACAGUAAACAGUUAAAUCACUGCC
Sander lucioperca (pikeperch) is the source of this 541-nucleotide long non-coding RNA. RefSeq lists it as uncharacterized. Lineage: Eukaryota; Metazoa; Chordata; Actinopteri; Perciformes; Percidae. The record is from RefSeq and is a predicted model, not a curated record. The transcript has 3 exons.